RNAcentral lists this ribosomal RNA (465 nucleotides) under uncultured bacterium. Its description in RNAcentral is "partial 16S ribosomal RNA". It matches the Rfam family "Bacterial small subunit ribosomal RNA", at positions 28 to 507 of the family's 1533-position model. The record is from RNAcentral.
GACGAACGCUGGCGGCGUGCUUAACACAUGCCAGUCGAACGGAAAGGCCCCUUUGGGGGUACUCGAGUGGCGAACGGGUGAGUAACACGUGAGUAACCUGCCCUUGACUUCGGGAUAACUUCAGGAAACUGGGGCUAAUACCGGAUAGGAAUCCUUGCUGCAUGGUGGGGGUUGGAAAGCUUCGGCGGUUUUGGAUGGACUCGCGGCUUAUCAGCUUGUUGGUGGGGUAGUGGCUUACCAAGGCUUUGACGGGUAGCCGGCCUGAGAGGGCGACCGGCCACAUUGGGACUGAGAUACGGCCCAGACUCCUACGGGAGGCAGCAGUGGGGAAUAUUGCACAAUGGGCGGAAGCCUGAUGCAGCAACGCCGCGUGCGGGAUGACGGCCUUCGGGUUGUAAACCGCUUUCAGCAGGGGCGAAGCUUGUGGUGACGGUACCCGCAGAAGAAGCACCGGCUAACUACGUG